Molecule: long non-coding RNA, 108 nt
Organism: Sapajus apella (tufted capuchin)
Lineage: Eukaryota; Metazoa; Chordata; Mammalia; Primates; Cebidae
Exons: 3
Source: RefSeq, a predicted model, not a curated record
GUCAUUUAUAAAAAUACUAUUGGGGCUGGGCAAAGCGGCUCUUGCCUGUAAUCCCAGCACUUUGGGAGGCUGCGGCGGGUGGAUCACAAGGUCAGGAGUUUGAGACCA